UACGUAGGGUGCGAGCGUUGUCCGGAAUUAUUGGGCGUAAAGAGCUUGUAGGCGGUUUGUCGCGUCUGCCGUGAAAUUUCGAGGCUCAACCUCGAACUUGCGGUGGGUACGGGCAGACUAGAGUGUGGUAGGGGAGACUGGAAUUCCUGGUGUAGCGGUGAAAUGCGCAGAUAUCAGGAGGAACACCGAUGGCGAAGGCAGGUCUCUGGGCCACUACUGACGCUGAGAAGCGAAAGCAUGGGGAGCGAACAGG
RNAcentral lists this ribosomal RNA (253 nucleotides) under uncultured bacterium. RNAcentral describes it as "partial 16S ribosomal RNA". It matches the Rfam family "Bacterial small subunit ribosomal RNA", at positions 524 to 776 of the family's 1533-position model. The record is from RNAcentral. RNAcentral also lists the same sequence under 1 other name.